UGUCAGUAGAGAUCAAGCUAUUAUAAGACGUAUUUAUUAUCAUAAUAUUGAAUAACAUUACAAUAUCUAACAACAUAAUACAAUAUAUAGUAACAUACUAACGAUACAUAAUAUGUAAAAACCACAACGAAAAGUUCGACUGACUACUCGUUCAAUGACUUUCAUAGUCGACUUCACUAAAUAUAUCAAACCAACUUCAAUCUAUAUUACGACUCCAAAUAAAACCUUAAUGUAAAAUACAAUAUAUUGAUUAAACUCAUGCAUAGUACUCUUUUUUCUCUCUACUUGGAAGGUGGUGGAGACAAGAAUGGAAUGUUUCCAAUAGAAGGGAUAUUUGGAAAGGAGGGAAUUGUUGGGAAAGGUACCUUAGGCAGGCCUGGAAUGGAAGGCAUAGGGGGAAGAACUGAAGGGUUAGGAAGAUUUGGAAUUGUAGGGUUUGGCAGUGAUGGAAUUGUAGGCAGACCUGGAAUAUUUGACUGCAGGAGACGACGAGCAGCAUUGCAGUUUUCUGUGUUAAUGGAAAUGGCAAAAAGAAUCAAAAUGCAAGUGUAAAUGAUUCUGGCCAUGAUUAAUUGAAGAUUGAAAACUAGGGUUUCUUGAAGAAGUAAUUGAAGAAGAUAAGUUUUGAGUUUGAUGAUG
Molecule: long non-coding RNA, 639 nt
Filed under: Olea europaea subsp. europaea
Lineage: Eukaryota; Viridiplantae; Streptophyta; Magnoliopsida; Lamiales; Oleaceae
Source: RNAcentral